CGAUUCCGGAGAGGGAGCCUGAGAAACGGCUACCACAUCUAAGGAAGGCAGCAGGCGCGCAAAUUACCCAAUCCUAAUACAGGGAGGUAGUGACAAGAAAUAACAAUACAGAGCCUUACGGUUUUGUAAUUGGAAUGAGUUAAGUAUAAACCCCUUAACAAGUAUCAAUUGGAGGGCAAGUCUGGUGCCAGCAGCCGCGGUAAUUCCAGCUCCAAUAGCGUAUAUUAAAGUUGUUGCAGUUAAAAAGCUCGUAGUUAAUUUUCUGUUAAUUUUUAUAUACAAUGCUACGGUAUUUAUAUAAUAUUAACAUAAUUCAUAUUACUUUUUAGUAUAUGAAACUUUACUUUGAGAAAAUUAGAGUGCUUAAAGCAGGCUAUUGCCUUGAAUACUCCAGCAUGGAAUAAUA
This 406-nucleotide ribosomal RNA is filed under the name Cryptosporidium sp. RY-2015. RNAcentral's name for it is "SSU rRNA". It matches the Rfam family "Eukaryotic small subunit ribosomal RNA", at positions 378 to 819 of the family's 1831-position model. Lineage: Eukaryota; Apicomplexa; Conoidasida; Eucoccidiorida; Cryptosporidiidae. The record is from RNAcentral.